CACUCCUACGGGAGGCAGCAGUGGGGAAUAUUGGACAAUGGGCGCAAGCCUGAUCCAGCCAUGCCGCGUGAGUGAUGAAGGCCCUAGGGUUGUAAAGCUCUUUCACCGGUGAAGAUAAUGACGGUAACCGGAGAAGAAGCCCCGGCUAACUUCGUGCCAGCAGCCGCGGUAAUACGAAGGGGGCUAGCGUUGUUCGGAUUUACUGGGCGUAAAGCGCACGUAGGCGGACUAUUAAGUCAGGGGUGAAAUCCCGGGGCUCAACCCCGGAACUGCCUUUGAUACUGGUAGUCUUGAGUUCGAGAGAGGUGAGUGGAAUUCCGAGUGUAGAGGUGAAAUUCGUAGAUAUUCGGAGGAACACCAGUGGCGAAGGCGGCUCACUGGCUCGAUACUGACGCUGAGGUGCGAAAGCGUGGGGAGCAAACAGGAUUAGAAACCCUGGUAGUCCCAUGAU
Molecule: ribosomal RNA, 451 nt
Filed under: uncultured organism
Description: partial 16S ribosomal RNA
Rfam family: Bacterial small subunit ribosomal RNA
Source: RNAcentral